Coregonus clupeaformis (lake whitefish) is the source of this 1137-nucleotide long non-coding RNA. RefSeq lists it as uncharacterized. Lineage: Eukaryota; Metazoa; Chordata; Actinopteri; Salmoniformes; Salmonidae. The record is from RefSeq and is a predicted model, not a curated record. The transcript is spliced from 3 exons.
CUUACUGACACCAGCAGGCAUGGGGCUACAGUCCGUCCAGUGAAGACAGGAGCGUCUCAACACAACGAAGACAGCUAAUUGCAGUAUCGAAUUGAAAAUAGUGGUAAUAGGCGCCCGGCUGAUAGAACGGCGCGCAUGCAGCUUUCAUGAAGGAGGAUGGAGAUAGAGAAAAGGACGAAUGGGUUCGAUUACCCAGAGAGAAACAAUGCGAAGCCCGUUAACGGCUUCUAUGGUGACCAUCCCUUGGAAGUUGAACAGAAUGAUGGCAUAGCGACACAAGCUACAGAAAUACCGAUGAGACACAAGGGACUACCGAGAUGUCACCAUCUAUGACUGUCAAGGCAGACGAGUGAGAUUCAACUCCAGGUUCCGCCCCCCUGUGACCAGAUGAGAUGACGCUCACCUGUCCUCUGCCAGUGAGCAAGAAGCUUCAAAGCAUAGUGACUCUGAUACCUCUCGAACCAACCCCGCUGUUUUAGGGGCGCGAGGCAACCAGCGCCAACCUGCAGGAAGACGAGGCGGGGCUCGAGGGGGAAGACAUCCGCCCACAGCCCACCUGAGGAGGUCCAGUCGGAACCGCAACAAUAACUUUCGGUGAUCAACAUAUCACCAUGGCCUCUCACGGAUGCCCAAGUGUCAGACCUGAGUGAAGGACUCUCUUUCUCACCUUCUAAUAGGAUGGCACCUUUUGCAUGAAAAGUUGACACUUUCAGAUUUGUUCGCCAAUGACAUUUAAAUAAUUUAUUCUGUGCUAAUAGGCAACCAUUGUGUAAUGUCAAAUUUUGUGCCUUAUGCUAAUUUCAGUCCCUACAAUAGGCUGAUAGAACAUGAUUUUGCUAAAUUGGCCCGCAACACCCCUAAACAAGCAGCUAAUCUCAGUAAUGGUGAACAAAAUGCUUUGAAGGAACUGAAAGACAAUCCAGAUAUUGUGAUAAAAAAUGCUGAUAAGGGAGUGAGGUCUAUGCUCAACUCUCUGACAUUAAGUUCUAUGUCCCUCUCUGUUUCAACCCCACAGGUAGAAUAAAAAAGGAUAUAAAUAGCUUCAUUGAUGACGCUCUUUCAGAGGGUGUCACGCCCUGACCUAUAGAACUCUAGUUAGUUUGGUCAGGGUGUGAAUAUCAUGUGUGUGUUUUUCUA